CGGGGGGCAGCAGUGGGGAAUUUUGGACAAUGGGCGCAAGCCUGAUCCAGCAAUGCCGCGUGCAGGAUGAAGGCCUUCGGGUUGUAAACUGCUUUUGUACGGAACGAAAAAGUCUGCCCUAAUACGGUGGGCCCAUGACGGUACCGUAAGAAUAAGCACCGGCUAACUACGUGCCAGCAGCCGCGGUAAUACGUAGGGUGCGAGCGUUAAUCGGAAUUACUGGGCGUAAAGCGUGCGCAGGCGGUUAUAUAAGUCAGAUGUGAAAUCCCCGGGCUCAACCUGGGACCUGCAUUUGAGACUGUAUAGCUAGAGUACGGUAGAGGGGGAUGGAAUUCCGCGUGUAGCAGUGAAAUGCGUAGAUAUGCGGAGGAACACCGAUGGCGAAGGCAAUCCCCUGGACCUGUACUGACGCUCAUGCACGAAAGCGUGGGGAGCAAACAGGAUUAGAUACCCGGGU
This 457-nucleotide ribosomal RNA is filed under the name uncultured Rhodoferax sp. RNAcentral describes it as "bacterial SSU rRNA". It matches the Rfam family "Bacterial small subunit ribosomal RNA", at positions 342 to 791 of the family's 1533-position model. Lineage: Bacteria; Pseudomonadati; Pseudomonadota; Betaproteobacteria; Burkholderiales; Comamonadaceae. The record is from RNAcentral.